CAUAGACGAGAGAAGCACACCCCGAUACAGCGACGAGGGAAACCCACACGCACCCGAAGCUCCCCCGCCUUCCUCCUCCUUCAACGUUGUCGUUCAAGUCGCAACACACAAGCAUCCCUUCUUUUAUACUAACGGAGUUUCGCUUGCGCUCACGCCCAUCGCACAGACACUUGUACACACGUACAGGGAGGCUGCCGCUUACAGCCUCCUCCUCCGUCGUCGUGUGUAGGUGUGUGUGGUUUCGCGCGUGCGAUCCCUCACUCCUCCUGCCGCACCAACAGGCAGACGCACGCACAGACGAGGCAUUGAUCUGUCCGCGCUACACUCGUCCAUCUCUCUGCUGUCGCGGUAGUCUUGGCACCUAGAUUGAUCCGUGCACAUGUCGUAGAGCCCACGCCCAUCCGUCCUCCCCUACCUAACUAGACAAACACACACACAGAUACAUAUAAACAUACACAGAGAGAGAGAGCGGCACCGUGGCCAUGGCAUCCCUUCUUCGUCGGUUGCGCUCCUCGUCUCCGUCGCUGGUGCGCGCGGGCGGAAAAGACGACGCUGCGGCAGCCGACAUGUUUCUAGUGCAAAUCAUCGCGUUUGGCGAGGUCUUCGCCGUCCCCGUGUGCAAGACGACUCCAGUCACGGUGGUCCUGCGCCACGUGAUGGAGGCGGCGGUGACGGAGGAGCAGGCGGCGGAGCUGGGUAGCGUGAAGGCGACGCUGUACUACAAAGACACGCCGCUCCGGCUCGACGCGGCAAUGAAGAAUGUCCCACGCAACGCUGUCCUCCACCUGCACUCAAGUGUGUCUACCACCUCCUUGAUCGUCCGCGAUCGUCGGCGCGGGGCCGUGUCGAUGCUGCCGGACAGUCGCCGGCGGGAUGCCAGCACGACGGUCACGGUGCGGCCCUGCAUGCGGGGCAAGAGCGUUGCCGGUGGUGGCUCUGAGUGCUCCGGCACCCCCGCCUCUCACCGACUCUCGUCUGGCUUUGCGGGCCUUUCUUCGGCGGUCAGCCCCGAUACAGAGCGGCAGGGGAGCCCCGCGGCCGCGAGACUUGGUGGCAACUCCGAGUCUGUCUCCUCCGCCUUCCACGACAUGGGGCUGAUGAGUAUGGCGACGCUGCCGUUGAUGUCUACUGCUCCCGCCGCGGCGACUUCGGGGACCGGCGUCGUUGGUGAGGCGCGAUACUACUACUUCGUCCCCUGUGCAGGUGCCGCGACGCGAACUCCGAUACAGCUGAUCAGCACUCCGAGCCGCACCGCGUCAGCGCUGUCGCUCAUGGCGAGCCGCCGUCGCGACAGCGCCGUUGACUUGGCGAACAACUGCUGCUUCCCUCCGGCCGGUGUCAGCCCUCUCGACACCGCCGCCAUCGCCGCGGCUGAGCCGUUGCUGUUCUCCCCUCUCCCUUCGCCAUCCAACGCGGCUGCCGUCGCCGCCACCGACCGCCUCACUGGCAGCAGCGAAAAGUACUUGCUCGUGUACCUGCGUCUGCCGCGCGACAAGGCAGCCGCCUGCAUGUCUGCCGCCGCCCUGAACGCUGACCGCAAUAUGCUCGCGGAGGCGGUGGAGGUGGACGAGGUGCCGGUCGAGGCACUGCUGGACGCGACCAUGUCGACCGUCGCGACCACCAAAUCCCGUGCCACCAGGGCGUACGCAUACCGCCGUCUGCGCGUGCUGCGGGACUUCCCGGUGGGCACACUGCGCGAGCUGUUCGCUGUUGCGGCCGAGCACCGCCUGCAUGUCGCUCAUGUCGAAGUGGAGGAUGAGCAGAAAACCUUCCGCGAGAUGCGCGUGGUCCCGAACACCGUCUUCUACUUCAAGAGGCGAGUCGAGGCAGGCAGCAACGCGGGGACGGAGCAAAAGGAUCCCCAGCGCUCUCUGACUCGCGAGCGCAUUCGCGAGCACCUCGCUGCCACCGCGACAGUGCCGCGGCCGCUGGAGGUGGCGAGGGAUGACAGCAGCGCUGAGAGGCGCCCCAUCCCUUGUCACAUCGAGCCGGUGCGUCCUUCGGCGGGCCGGCCCUUCCCUUCCGCCUCUGCGCCUGUGUUCUCCGGCACCGUGCCGAGCUCUCGCGCCCACGAUCGCAUCCAGAGCAGUGCCAGCAUCAGCACCACCUCCAGCGCCCUCUCCAUUCAGGAGCGCAUCGGUGCCUUCAACGAGGGCACUGCGCGAAACCCCACCUACGGCGCAGGGCAGUCCGCCUGCGUGGCGGACGGCAGUGCGGAGGCAGCCUCGGUGGCUGCGCCCACGAACCGGUACGCCGUGGAGGGCCACGAGCUGACUCUGUCUUCUGCCAUGACCCCCGAGUUGGCUGCGCUGCGCACUGAGGCGGAGACGACGGCGCGUCAGCAGUUGUCCCAGGAACGACACCGCAGCACAGAGCGCGACGACCCACUGAAUGCCAUUUCGCCGGAGGACAUCGAGGCGGCGGAGGCGGAGGAGUCGUGCAUCGACGUGGACUGCUGUUUGGCAGACAGAGAAGGAGAGGAGGCAGCAGCCGCCACACCCACUGCGACGCAUCGUGCUGCUACACCACAAGCUGCUUCGGUGUUACAGGCUACUUCCAUGACUGCCGCCGCUGCUCCCGCCGUAGAAGCGGCGGCAUCGCAGCAGGCGGCGGGGAAGGCGUAUCGCCUGCACCGUCGCUCCCCAACUGCGGCGGCGGCGAAAACGCGCAGCGACGCGCUCCAUAGCGAGGAGGAGGUGCUGGCCAAGGCAGCGCGCACGACUGCAUCCACGCGCUCGCCCAAGGCGCGGCGAGCGUCGAUGCUGGUAGCCAAGAUGCACGACGCCCUACGCGGGCACAGAACCAAAAGCACCCCGGUGUCCGCGGCCCUGACACCACCCCAUCACGCUGGCGAGGGGCCGCAGCCGCUGUUCGCGGCCGAUGCUCUGCAGCCGGCCAUCGACGCCGGUGAGCCGCUCGACCCGCUCGCCGCACGCGCCGAUGGGGUCCCGCUUCGCCUACCCCAUGCCGCUGACGAGGCGGCCGACGCAAAGCCGAAGCGAAGGCCGUCAGAGGAGUCGAACAAAGAACCGGCGACUGGCAAGGGGGCAACGCCGUCGUCCGAUGGCGCCGCAGCGGUGAGCCGCGCAACCUCGACGGGGCCGCCGACAGCGAAGAUGAAAGUUUCUGACAGCGCCUCGCCCUUUCACCCCGUGCGACGGAUGUCGUCGCGCCAGCGCAAGGCGCACGGUGCCAUCAGGCCUUCCCCGUCUGGCAAGGAUGCGCUCAUCGCCCCCUCGCUCGCCGCCACGUCUUCGUUGACGCUGUCCACCUCCGAGGAGGUCCUGAAGGCAUUGAGGCGCGAUUCGGCGCACCUCAGCAACAAGAAGCCAAAGGAAGCGGUCAAGACAACGCCAGCUGAAACCACCGCCUGGACGCCGUUAUCGGCUGCGAGAGCAGCCGCCACGGCCGAAUCGGCGGGGCGAGGCAAGGCGGAGGUGGGGGACACACCUGGGCAACCGAAGGUGAUUCCAGAGAACGACGGCCCCUCACGCGGUAGUGGCGCGUCGUACAGUCAACGCAAUCGCCGUGCAAGCGCGAGUGUGCCGUGCCAGCCUGUUGCCUUCCUCGGCUCCGACCCUAGGCAAGCAGCCAGCAUGACUUUGCCCGCCGAAACGGCCCCAGCUGCUGUAGACAUCAGCACAACGCUUGAACCAGCCGUGCUCAGCUCCACACGUGUCCCUACCCCACCUGACUCGCACACCCCUGCGUCGAUCCUCGUCUCCGCCACGCAGGGGCAGCGCAGCGGCCGGCAGAGGAACAGCUGCACCCCCGGGAGCUGCUCGCUUGAGCGCGUAAACCCGACCCCGUCCGUGUGGCGGCACAGAGAGGAGAGCGGCCCCUUGGGGUACAGUGUCGAGAGUCCCAGCAGCGCACACCGGCUGCGCAUCACCCUCAGGGACCCGCAAGACCCCACACGCUUUCACUACGGCGUCCCCGUCGAGCCGGACUGUCCGGUUGGGGCGCUGCGGGAGUGGAUUGCAGCGAUGCAGCGACCAAGCAGCGCAGUGGGCGAGGGCGUGCCGGACCUGUGCGACGCGAAGCGCUACGGCAUCUUUCUGGGCGACACGUACCUGUCCGAGGCAGACUCCGUCACCUUCGCUGAGGUGACGUGCGGUCGAAAUGACAGCGUCUUCUCCAUUCGCCUCCUGUAGCGCCCGCCGCUGCGCCACGGGCGCACAGCUGGUUGGUGGUGAUGUGCGUCUGUGCGGCUGCGUAUACGUCGUGGCUGGCGCGAUACUUGUGAUGCAUGUACGGUACACACGACCUUCAUGACUUGCACCCCGCCACGCUCUCUCUCCCUCUCCCUCCCUCGCCGACCCGCCAACGCCCACACAAGCACGCGCGUUGUUUUCUUGAUGGGUGAGCGGGACAAAGAGAUGUGCUACGUGCACAGUGCCGCCCGUACGCACCACUGCACGCUGCGGCACUGAUACCUCCUUGCCGUCGUUCCUUUCCUUUCCUUUAUAGUUUUCAAUCAUGUUCCCCCCCCCCAUCCGCCCCUUGUCCCCAUUGUUUUUCAUUGUUGAGGUGAUCAGUGCCGUGGCCUCCACCGAUUGCCUGUGCGCGCGCGCGUGUGCGUGCGUGUGUGUGACGACGCCAGGUGAGUUGUGUAGCUUCGUGUAUGUGCAUAUGCAAGCCGUGAUGGCUGUCUUCUUCCCUUUGGUUGCUUUACUCUGCCGCUUCACUAACACCAUGACGUGCCGCCUGCUGCUCCGCUGGCAUUGGCGUACCCCCGCCCCGCCUCUGUUUGCUGUGAGGGUGUCCGGCCAGGCGUUGUGCCCGAUGUGCCACGCGAGACUUGCGGGUCUCUCGAGGCCCACACCUCGCUUCACACGAUGCUCUUGCAUGCAACGAUCCGAUGACGCGCACGUCUCACUCGCGCUGCACGAGCUCCUUAUCUGGCGGGCAUCUACCGCUGCCCCCUGUCCCCCUUCCGGUUGACAAGCUAUGCGCUCUCUGUACGCAGGCAAAUGCCUAUCCGCGGGCCCCUUCCGCCUGACACACCCACGCCUGUGAAGGGCGUGCGGAUUCAGCAGGAGGGUGGAGCGCCCCCUGCCGCCACGGACUCAUGUCGACGUCCCACCUGUCGCAGCAAAUGCGGGCACGCCAACCCACACACGGACCGGGUGACAUGGACGGCAAUGGACGAUGAAGGCAGCGAGCUACCCAGGCAGCAGUAUCGUUCUGAAACGGCCCUCAGGGUGCAACAGUGCGAGCGCUGUGCAGCGCAGCUGGCAUGGCGCACCGCAUCCGAGCAAAGGCGUCCAGAGGCCCAAGGAGCACGAGCGGUGGACGAAAAAGGUGCGGAUAGAUGCCCACCGACCAACGCCACAGCGCACGCGUGCGACGCAUGGCGAGAGCACCCUGAAUUGGCACCGUCAAGCCCUCCAGACUGCCGUGUGGUGAGUCACCACACCAUACUAUGGAAUACCGCGGCUUGAAGCGACUCAAGGGGAAGCAUGGCAGGCAGGCGAGGAUGCGCAGGACCUCAGAGGGCCCUGGCCUGAAGCUGGCCAACCUCCUCCUUGAGUUCAUCCGGCAUCCACCUGGACCCAUCCCCUACUACCCGCACGAUAGGCGGCACCCCACCGCCCUCCAGCAGGUGCCUGGACGCGACCCUCUCGAAUCAAGGCAUGCGGCCCGCCCGAGUCUGUGUGGCGCCGAUUGCGCCGCACGUUUGCGAAGAAGAGAAGAGGAAGGAUAGGGAGAGCCCGCUUAGGCGCAUGGCUCCGAUUCGACGGCAGGGACGGCUCAUCCUAGACGACGAGGAUGUAGCCGCAGUGUGUGGCAGAGGUAGAUGAGCUGUGGUUGCGUAUGCGUGUACGUGUCCUGACUUGUUCGUGGCAGAAACGGGCACGGUGGAAAGUGAAAAAGAAAAGUGCCGCAUCACUUCAUGGGUGCAUUGCGCUCGAUCGGCAUCGUUUUCGCUUCCCUCUCACUGUGUGUGUGUGUGUGCUGAUGGAUACGCGUGUGCCUCGCGAGUACGUCUCCUCCCUCCCUCUCUGUGGUUGUCCUGUGCCGUCUUCCCAUGUUUCUGCGUUGCUCGCUUCUCUUUCUCUCGCCCCUUCUCUCUAUAUGAGC
Molecule: unclassified non-coding RNA, 6084 nt
Filed under: Leishmania donovani
Lineage: Eukaryota; Euglenozoa; Kinetoplastea; Trypanosomatida; Trypanosomatidae
Description: gene:LdHU3.20.1840(CDS-product:hypothetical_prote in_conserved)
Source: RNAcentral